GGCUGGUCCGAUGGUAGUGGGUUAUCAGAACUUACUCACAUUAGUGUCACUAAAGUUGGCAUUCAACCCCCCACUGCUAAAUUUGACUGGCUUUUA
Molecule: unclassified non-coding RNA, 96 nt
Organism: Microcebus murinus (gray mouse lemur)
Lineage: Eukaryota; Metazoa; Chordata; Mammalia; Primates; Cheirogaleidae
Rfam family: Y RNA
About the family: Y RNAs are components of the Ro ribonucleoprotein particle (Ro RNP), in association with Ro60 and La proteins. The Y RNAs and Ro60 and La proteins are well conserved, but the function of the Ro RNP is not known.
Source: Ensembl